Molecule: long non-coding RNA, 145 nt
Organism: Dermochelys coriacea (leatherback sea turtle)
Lineage: Eukaryota; Metazoa; Chordata; Testudines; Dermochelyidae
Exons: 3
Source: RefSeq, a predicted model, not a curated record
GCCCUGUUCUAUACUGCAAUGCCUUAGGUCGACCUAAUUAGGUCAGCGUACAUACUACAGCCUUGCUCCUGCAGAUGUAAGUGCCCUGCUACACCAACAUAAUGACUCCACCACCCCAGAGGCAUAGGGCUUAUGUCGGUGUAGU